Molecule: long non-coding RNA, 1046 nt
Organism: Etheostoma spectabile (orangethroat darter)
Lineage: Eukaryota; Metazoa; Chordata; Actinopteri; Perciformes; Percidae
Exons: 5
Source: RefSeq, a predicted model, not a curated record
CUCCAGUUUUUUUUGUAUCCACUGAUUGCACCACUGUUGUGUGUCAGUUGAGUGGUGCCUGCCCCGAAUAAUAGUUGGGCACAGCUGAUCAAAUCUGUGUUGCAUUCUUGUUGAACACAUGAAACAGCCUGUGAGAUACACCCUGGGAGACAUGUGGAGCCCUGAGACUCUGGGUUAUAACCAAAGACAGGGGCCAGAGUAUCCUGGCUCAGCUACUACUACUACUACUGGCAGCUGCAGUGACUCAGACCUUUCAAAGGAACACUUAGCUGCCAUUUACGAGUCAUCUGAAGCUAAGACGUGCUCGUCUUAAAGACAGAGAGAUGGAGCAGUUCUUCUACAUUCAGCCACAAGAGCCUGGUGUUGGUUUAACCUCACUGAUUGAGGGCAGAGAGUGUUUUCUUAUGUUCAGUAUCUCUGUCAGACCUUUGGCUCACAUCUUGGACACAAACAAAGAGGGCAACGAAGAAGUGAGGCUAAAAGAGGAUGGUAUGGUGGCAGUGGACGGAUAGAGGAGAAUCAGACAUUGAAAUGGCUGACUAACCAGCUCUCCUGCCGCAGUCGUCUGCCGUAGGAAUAUAGAUAGAGAGAGAGAAACACAAGAGAGUGAACAGAAAGAGGUAUGGAGUCCAUUAGGACUUUAGCAGAGCAGGGAAGAUUGAAUAAUCCUGGCAAACGUUCACUCAGCUUCCCUCCUUUUCCUCUGUACUUUCCAACUGGGUGCCAUCCACACAACCUUUAAACUCUGUCUUAGUUACCAGGACCCAUAAUCCAUGCAAAUAAAGAAUUUCUAACUAGAAAGGCACCCCACCCUUUAAUGUGUUGGCUUGCGACACCACAACCUGUGCAUGGUUGAAUGGCCCAUUCAAGCCCAGAGCAUGAGAUCAUGAAUACAUUGGUUACUGAUCUUCAUUAUUCACAAUCAGUAAAAGCAGUGAAUGGCUAUAACACAGGAUUGUGUUGUGUAAAGGUUAAUCUAUUUGGGGUUCUGCUGUCUGGUUUUGUUACUGACCUUAUUCCAGUGUACAGUCAAUUUACAUUGCACA